Molecule: ribosomal RNA, 329 nt
Filed under: uncultured bacterium
Lineage: Bacteria
Description: bacterial SSU rRNA
Rfam family: Bacterial small subunit ribosomal RNA
Source: RNAcentral
AGGGUUCGAUUCUGGCUCAGGAUGAACGCUGGCGGCGUGCAUAACACAUUCAAGUCGAACGGACGACCCGGAGCUUGCUCCGGGAAGUUAGUGGCGGACGGGUGAGUAACGCGUGAGCAACCUGCCUGUGUGAGCGGAAUAACGUCCGGAAACAGACGCUAAUACCGCAUGACUCACGGACUUCGCAUGGAGACCGUGGCAAAGAUUUAUCGCACACAGAUGGGCUCGCGUCCGAUUAGGCAGUUGGUGAGGUAACGGCUCACCAAACCGACGAUCGGUAGCCGGACUGAGAGGUUGAACGGCCACAUUGGAACUGAGAAACGGUCCAG